This 425-nucleotide ribosomal RNA is filed under the name uncultured bacterium. RNAcentral describes it as "partial 16S ribosomal RNA". It matches the Rfam family "Bacterial small subunit ribosomal RNA", at positions 354 to 796 of the family's 1533-position model. The record is from RNAcentral.
GUGGGGAAUAUUGGACAAUGGGCGCAAGCCUGAUCCAGCCAUGCCGCGUGAGUGAUGAAGGCCCUAGGGUUGUAAAGCUCUUUCAGUAGGGAAGAUAAUGACGGUACCUACAGAAGAAGCCCCGGCUAACUUCGUGCCAGCAGCCGCGGUAAUACGAAGGGGGCUAGCGUUGUUCGGAUUUACUGGGCGUAAAGCGCACGUAGGCGGAUUGGUCAGUUAGAGGUGAAAUCCCGAAGCUCAACUUCGGAACUGCCUUUAAUACUGCCAGUCUCGAGUCCGGAAGAGGUGAGUGGAACUCCUAGUGUAGAGGUGGAAUUCGUAGAUAUUAGGAAGAACACCAGUGGCGAAGGCGGCUCACUGGUCCGGUACUGACGCUGAGGUGCGAAAGCGUGGGGAGCAAACAGGAUUAGAUACCCGUGUAGUCC